This is a long non-coding RNA of Solea senegalensis (Senegalese sole), 602 nucleotides long. RefSeq lists it as uncharacterized. The transcript is spliced from 2 exons. The record is from RefSeq and is a predicted model, not a curated record. NCBI's taxonomy places the organism in Eukaryota, Metazoa, Chordata, Actinopteri, Pleuronectiformes, Soleidae.
ACAACUCCCAGAAUGCACUGCACUUGCUGCCCUGUGACACAGCCAUAGGCCACACCCCCUUCUUACAGAGUGAAGCAGACAGAGUACUGGUUGUGUAAACACAGGAAUCCCCAUGAGGAAUUAGUUGGCAAAUACUUCACUUGUAAAUUACAAUGGUGCUGAAUUGUAAUGGGAUGUGCAGUAAAACAAGGAUAGGACAAGCAGUAAGUUUCCCUCAUUUGCCGGUCAGAGAUUCGGAGUGGUGAGCUAUCAACCACUCGGAGUUUGAAGAAGACACUGAAAUGUAAAAGCUGGAAACUCAGAGGAUUUGCUGUCUCCAUUUGCAGCAGGAAGACGUUGCUGAGAGGAGAAGCAUGGUUUAAUCAAGUCUUGAAGAAAAUCUUCACACCACAUCCAGUGUCUGCUCCUCUUCACCAGACUCCUCCAGCUGUGGCAAAUCAGAUUCUGUCGCUGCUGUAUAUGUUUCAUGGUUUAUUUAUUUUUUUGCAUAUUGUGUUGUGUUAGACAUUCUUUUAGAUUUGUCUCUGUUGAUUUUAAUUUGUGCCCUUGAAUAUGAUGGCAAAACAUUUUCCUUUGUGAAUAAUAAAGUUGUUUUUUUUGAA